ACAGCAAGCCGGCCUGUCGCUCCGAAAGGGGAGGAAAGUCCGGACAACGCAGAGCGCCGCGCUUCCUAACGGGAAGAUGGUCGUGAGACCAUGAAGGUGUAACAGAAAAUAACCGCCUACGGGCAAGGGUGAAAAGGUGGGGUAAGAGCCCACCGGUUCGGAUGGUGACAUCCGAAGCCGUACACCCCGCGGGUUGCAAGACCAUGUAUAUCCCGGUUCCUUUUAGGUACGGGGUUGCUCGCUCCGGUUCCUUAGGUUGGAAGCCGGGAAGGGUAGGUCGCUUAAGGGGACAGGUGACUGUCUUCUCAGAUAAAUGACAGGCAUCCUGGCAACAGGAUACAGAAUCCGGCUUACAGGUUUGCUGUUUUU
This 369-nucleotide RNase P RNA is filed under the name Thermophagus xiamenensis. RNAcentral's name for it is "Anaerophaga sp. HS1 Bacterial RNase P class A". It matches the Rfam family "Bacterial RNase P class A". From Rfam's summary of the family: Ribonuclease P (RNase P) is a ubiquitous endoribonuclease, found in archaea, bacteria and eukarya as well as chloroplasts and mitochondria. The record is from Rfam by way of RNAcentral. Lineage: Bacteria; Pseudomonadati; Bacteroidota; Bacteroidia; Marinilabiliales; Marinilabiliaceae.